Teleopsis dalmanni is the source of this 769-nucleotide long non-coding RNA. RefSeq lists it as uncharacterized. The transcript has 3 exons. The record is from RefSeq and is a predicted model, not a curated record. Lineage: Eukaryota; Metazoa; Arthropoda; Insecta; Diptera; Diopsidae.
UUUUUUCAGAUAGUAUACAACUACUACUCGCCUUCGUUCAAAUUUUGAUUUGAGAUUUUGACAAAAACCCACCGGGCAGUUAUAAUACAGGGAAAGCCAGGUGUCACGGCAAAAAUGGGGUUAUGCAAAUAUUGCAAUAAAAACUUUGAUGAAAAUCUAUUGGCUAAGCACGAAUCAGUUUGCGCUAACUAAAGCACUGUAACGAGAAAAAUUUUUGCCCCGUCAAAAUCUCGGAUUAAUAUUGUGGAAAGCUUAAUGCGCAAUGCUGUACAUUCCAAAUCGGAGUCUUGUAACAACUGGCGAGCACUUCUCGCAAAUGUUGAAGAAGCAAGAACGGUCCAAUCAUUCACACCUUGGGGAAGUGCUGAAAACCAUCACACAAGGACAUAUCCAAAACGCAUAUUCCAUUUUGCGAGAGCGCAGUAUUUGCACCUGCCACCGAAAAAGGUACAAAAAAAUUUGAAGUAGGUUUCGAUUCCAAGAAGUGCCAGUGAAGUGAUUCUAAAUGGUUCCGGCCCAGACGCAGAUAUUUGAUCAAAACUAUAUAAAAAAGUACACAUAAUCUAAACUAUGAUUAAUGUAUAUAUACCAGUGACAUGAUAAAAGAUUAAAUAUUAAAAUAUGUGCAGAUGUGCUUUAUCCUUUAGUAAAAGUGUAUAUAACAUAUUAUUAAGGAUCAUGAAAUAACCAUAGCUUAAAAUGUACAUGGUAGAAUCAUAUAACAUAUAUACAAGUGGUAAUAAUUAAUAUUUUGCCAGAAAAAUAAAAA